UUGCGGUUAAAAAGCUCGUAGUUGGAUCUCGGCGGGUAGAAGGCGGUACACUGCUAAGUGUUACUGCCUUAUUACCCGUAGUUUUUGCUAGAGGUUUCAGGGUGCUCUUAAUCGAGUGUCCUGGGAUGCUAGCAGGUUUACUUUGAAAAAAUUAGAGUGUUCAAAGCAGGCUACUACGCUUGAAUAUUCGUGCAUGGAAUAAUAGAAUAGGAAGUCGUUUCUAUUUUGUAGGUUUUCGGAAAUCGACUUAAUGAUUAAUAGGGACAGUCGGGGGCAUUUGUAUUCAAACGACAGAGGUGAAAUUCUUGGACCGUUUGAAGACAAACUACUGCGAAAGCAUUUGCCAAGAAUGUUUUCAUUAAUCAAGAACGAAAGUUAGAGGUUCGAAGGCGAUUAGAUACCGCCCUAGUUCUAACCAUAAAACGAUGCCAGCUAGCGAUCUGCAGACGUUUUUUUUGUAGACUCCGCAGGAAGCUUCCGGGAAACCAAAGCGUGUGGGUUCCGGGGGAAGUAUGGUUGCAAAGCUGAAACUUA
RNAcentral lists this ribosomal RNA (534 nucleotides) under uncultured marine eukaryote. RNAcentral's name for it is "SSU rRNA". It matches the Rfam family "Eukaryotic small subunit ribosomal RNA", at positions 613 to 1146 of the family's 1831-position model. The record is from RNAcentral.